Molecule: ribosomal RNA, 468 nt
Filed under: uncultured bacterium
Lineage: Bacteria
Description: partial 16S ribosomal RNA
Rfam family: Bacterial small subunit ribosomal RNA
Source: RNAcentral
GACGAACGCUGGCGGCGUGCUUAACGCAUGCAAGUCGAACGGAAAGGCUCCAGCUUGCUGGAGUACUCGAGUGGCGAACGGGUGAGUAACACGUGGGUGAUCUGCCCUGCACUUCGGGAUAAGCCUGGGAAACUGGGUCUAAUACCGGAUAGGACCGCACUUUGGUGUGUGUGGUGGAAAGGUUUUUCUGGUGUGGGAUGAGCUCGCGGCCUAUCAGUUUGUUGGUGGGGUAAUGGCCUACCAAGACGGCGACGGGUAGCCGGCCUGAGAGGGUGGACGGUCACAUUGGGACUGAGAUACGGCCCAGACUCCUACGGGAGGCAGCAGUGGGGAAUAUUGCACAAUGGGGGAAACCCUGAUGCAGCGACGCCGCGUGGGGGAUGAAGGCCUUCGGGUUGUAAACUCCUUUCGCUAGGGACGAAGCUUUUUGUGACGGUACCUGGAGAAGAAGCACCGGCUAACUACGUG